GGGCAAUACAAUAUCUCCUGGAGUCACUGAAAAAGUUACUGAAGAGGAUUCUCGGGGCUGUACUCUGGCAGUUCCCGUGCUCCGGGAGCAUAGACAGAGACCCGCGGCCCCCGGCCCCCUCCCGGACCUGGUCUGCAGGACAUCGAGCCUGGAGGAGUGGAUGUGAGGGCUGCAGGGUGUAGGGCAGAAAAUGUACACCUGAAAGCUAUUCCCCCUGCUCUGCCCCCUUCCUCUCCAGCCCUUCCCACUCCCCUGCCUCUCCUCUCCCCACUAUAUAUUUUGUUAGGUUAGGCUAAGUUAUAUUAUAGUGUUUAAU
This is a long non-coding RNA of Alligator sinensis (Chinese alligator), 316 nucleotides long. RefSeq lists it as uncharacterized. The record is from RefSeq and is a predicted model, not a curated record. NCBI's taxonomy places the organism in Eukaryota, Metazoa, Chordata, Crocodylia, Alligatoridae. The transcript is spliced from 3 exons.